Ahaetulla prasina is the source of this 994-nucleotide long non-coding RNA. RefSeq lists it as uncharacterized. The record is from RefSeq and is a predicted model, not a curated record. The transcript is spliced from 3 exons. NCBI's taxonomy places the organism in Eukaryota, Metazoa, Chordata, Lepidosauria, Squamata, Colubridae.
UGCUCAAAGAACCACUUUAUUGGGCAUCGGAGUGGGAAGGAAGGAGAGCGCAUGCACUGUCCCUCAACCGACCAACCUACUGAAAGAAACGAAGAGUCUUAGAGCCAAUCAAAAGGCGCGGGGGGGUUACUGACAGACAUCAAGUUGAAGAAAGAAAAGAUUUGAAUAAAGGGUGUGCAUAACUGCAUUCCUAUUUGUAGCCAGCUUUUUUGUCAUCAUCUAUCCUACUUUAGACACAUGCAAAGACCCAGCUCUCUGGAGAAGGCUCUAAUGCUGGAAAAGAAGGAAAGGGAUGAAGAAGGUGACCAACAGAAAGAUGGAUAAAUUCAAUUAUCCUGAGUAAAUUCACCAUUGGGAGACUUGAAAGAAUAAGUUAGGGAUAAAGUGUUGUGGAGAAAAACUAUGUGGUUGCUAGAAAUGAAAAUAAUUUAAUAGCAUAUAAUCACUCUACCGAUGAACAAUUCUAGAGAAAUUAAAAGCUUUCCAUAUUCUUGACCUUCAGAUUAGCCUGAUAAAUGUUUUUGAUAGGGGGGGGGGUUGUAACCAAUUCACAUUUGUUUUGGGAGUUUCCAUUCUUACACUAGUUCCACUUGACAAUUUGAAGCUAAAUUUUAAUAAAAUAGAGGAGCAGCAAUUGCUAGAUUGCAAUUUGCACCUAUCAAAGAGCAUCCGAAAAGCCUAAUUUGAAUGUUUAUAACUUUUUUUCCAUUACCUAUCAAGUUAGGGAUAUCCACAAUGAGGAUUACUGUAAAAGUCAAAAUGUCAGCUGCAAUCGUGCUUGAAGGCUUGUCCUUUUUUAUAUUCAAUUGCAUGACUUUUUGUCCUCUUCUACACAAACACUGGAUCAAAUGCAAAUCCUGUGGGUCUGGUGUUUUACUAUUUCCUGCUACAUUCUUGGAUUUAUUUUCAAUUUUGCUGAAGAAUUCUGCAUAAUUCAAAAGCUUAUACUGUAUGCUGUUUGAUUAUGUUUAAUUAACUAAAAAAAUUUAAAUUU